GCAAAACCAGUAUUAAAGGUACAACCUGCCCAGUGACAACUUUAAACGGCCGCGGUAUCCUAACCGUGCAAAGGUAGCGUAAUCACUUGUCCUUUAAAUAAGGACUAGUAUGAACGGUUAAAUGAGGACAAACCUGUCUCUUGUAGGGGAUCAGUGAAACUGAACUUCCAGUUAAAAUGCUGGAAUAUUUACAUAAGACGAGAAGACCCUGUGGAGCUUUAAACUACACUCAAACCAUAAAUUGAAUAGACGUUUUUAGUUGGGGCGACUUCGGAACAAAAAGAAACUUCCGAGAAAACAGAGCACCUCCUCAAAAUUUAGGCCCACAAGCCAACAGCAUGCACAUUGACCCGGACCUAUCCGAUAAACGAACCAAGUUACCCCAGGGAUAACAGCGCUAUCUUCUUUUAGAGUCCAUAUCAACAAGAAGGCUUACGACCUCGAUGUUGGAUCAGGACACCCAAAUGGUGCAGCCGCUAUUAAUGGUUCGUUUGUUCAACGAUUAACAGUCCUACGUGAUCUGAGUUCAGACCGGAGU
This 538-nucleotide ribosomal RNA is filed under the name Platysaurus mitchelli. RNAcentral's name for it is "partial 16S ribosomal RNA". It matches the Rfam family "Bacterial large subunit ribosomal RNA", at positions 1833 to 2622 of the family's 2925-position model. Lineage: Eukaryota; Metazoa; Chordata; Lepidosauria; Squamata; Cordylidae. The record is from RNAcentral.